This 459-nucleotide ribosomal RNA is filed under the name uncultured bacterium. RNAcentral describes it as "partial 16S ribosomal RNA". It matches the Rfam family "Bacterial small subunit ribosomal RNA", at positions 338 to 795 of the family's 1533-position model. The record is from RNAcentral.
CCUACGGGUGGCAGCAGUGAGGAAUAUUGGUCAAUGGUCGGGAGACUGAACCAGCCAAGCCGCGGGAGGGAGGAAGGUACAGAGUAUCGUAAACCUCUUUUGUCAGGGAACAAAGGCGGGGACGUGUCCCCGGAUGAGUGUACCUGAAGAAAAAGCAUCGGCUAACUCGGUGCCAGCAGCCGCGGUAAUACGGAGGAUGCGAGCGGUAUCCGGAUUUAUUGGGUUUAAAGGGUGCGCAGGCGGUCUGUUAAGUCAGCGGUAAAAGCCCGGGGCUCAACCCCGGCCCGCCGUUGAAACUGGCAGUCUCGAGUUGGAGAGAAGUAUGCGGAAUGCGCGGUGUAGCGGUGAAAUGCAGAGAUAUCGCGCAGAACUCCGAUUGCGAAGGCAGCAUGCCGGCUCCACACUGACGCUGAGGCACGAAAGCGUGGGUAUCGAACAGGAUUAGAUACCCCAGUAGUC